CAAGAGGUUCGACUCGAGCGAAGCGAGAGAACGUUGCGUCAGCAACGGCCCGCAGUGGCAAGUCAUCCUCUGUCACCGGCAG
This 82-nucleotide small RNA is filed under the name Salmonella enterica subsp. enterica serovar Enteritidis. RNAcentral's name for it is "partial RtT sRNA". It matches the Rfam family "RtT RNA", at positions 36 to 130 of the family's 130-position model. From Rfam's summary of the family: This family represents a bacterial cis-regulatory element known as RtT RNA. Lineage: Bacteria; Pseudomonadati; Pseudomonadota; Gammaproteobacteria; Enterobacterales; Enterobacteriaceae. The record is from RNAcentral.